CCUACGGGCGGCAGCAGUGGGGAAUAUUGGACAAUGGGCGAAAGCCUGAUCCAGCCAUGCCGCGUGUGUGAAGAAGGCCUUCGGGUUGUAAAGCACUUUCAGUGGGGAAGAAAGCCUUGGGGCUAAUGCCCUCGAGGAAGGACAUCACCCACAGAAGAAGCACCGGCUAACUCCGUGCCAGCAGCCGCGGUAAUACGGAGGGUGCGAGCGUUAAUCGGAAUUACUGGGCGUAAAGCGCGCGUAGGCGGUCUGAUAAGCCGGUUGUGAAAGCCCCGGGCUCAACCUGGGAACGGCAUCCGGAACUGGCAGGCUAGAGUGCAGGAGAGGAAGGUAGAAUUCCCGGUGUAGCGGUGAAAUGCGUAGAGAUCGGGAGGAAUACCAGUGGCGAAGGCGGCCUUCUGGACUGACACUGACGCUGAGGUGCGAAAGCGUGGGUAGCAAACAGGAUUAGAUACCCUUGUAGUC
Molecule: ribosomal RNA, 465 nt
Filed under: Vreelandella stevensii
Lineage: Bacteria; Pseudomonadati; Pseudomonadota; Gammaproteobacteria; Oceanospirillales; Halomonadaceae
Description: partial 16S ribosomal RNA
Rfam family: Bacterial small subunit ribosomal RNA
Source: RNAcentral